Molecule: RNA transcript, 7165 nt
Organism: Ixodes scapularis (black-legged tick)
Lineage: Eukaryota; Metazoa; Arthropoda; Arachnida; Ixodida; Ixodidae
Gene: exd
Gene name: homeobox protein extradenticle
Exons: 9
Source: RefSeq, a predicted model, not a curated record
UCGUUCAACCCACCCUGAAGCCGCUCGCUGUCCGUCAAAAGUAUUCCAAUCAAAACACUCAAUUACAGUUGGUUUAGCGUCGCGUGUGUGCGGACUUAUGGAUGGUGGUGUUCCGGCAUCGGUGGCUGACGCCGUGUGAGGCCUACCGCUGGUGUUUGUGGCCGGGCCGCCCGUGAGAGGUGCCUCCGAGCGAUGGACGAGCAACAAAGAAUGAUGCACCCAGUAUCACAACAUCCCAUCGUGAGCAUGGCGGGUCAUGUUGUGCCUCAGCAUGGCUACGGAAUGGGCCCGCAGUCGCACGGUGUCGACCCGACGGGCCAGCAGGCCGCGCCGGACCAAGAGCCCAGGAAACACGACAUUUCGGAAAUUCUCCAACAGAUCAUGAACAUCACCGACCAGAGCUUGGACGAAGCCCAAGCGAGGAAACACACGCUCAACUGCCAUCGGAUGAAGCCAGCCCUCUUCAGCGUCCUCUGCGAAAUCAAGGAAAAAACAGUGCUGAGCUUACGGAACACGCAAGAAGAGGAGCCCCCGGACCCUCAGCUGAUGCGGCUGGACAACAUGCUGAUCGCCGAGGGCGUGGCGGGUCCCGAGAAGGGCGGCGGCGCCGGGGCAGCGGCCAACGCGUCUGCGGCGGCCUCCGGGGGCCAGCCCGAGAACGCCAUCGAGCACUCCGACUACCGGGCCAAGCUCGCGCAGAUCAGGCAGAUCUACCACCAGGAGCUGGAGAAGUACGAGCAGGCGUGCAACGAGUUCACGACGCACGUGAUGAACCUUUUGCGAGAGCAGAGUCGGACGCGGCCGAUCACGCCCAAGGAGAUCGAGCGCAUGGUGCAGAUAAUCCACAAGAAGUUCAACUCCAUCCAGGUGCAGCUCAAGCAGAGCACCUGCGAGGCCGUCAUGAUCCUCAGGUCCAGGUUCCUCGACGCAAGGCGAAAGAGACGCAACUUCAGCAAGCAAGCGACGGAGAUCCUGAACGAGUAUUUCUACUCGCACCUUAGCAACCCGUACCCGUCGGAGGAGGCCAAGGAGGAACUCGCCAGGAAGUGCGGCAUCACCGUCUCUCAGGUGUCUAAUUGGUUCGGCAACAAGCGGAUACGAUACAAGAAGAACAUAGGGAAAGCGCAAGAAGAGGCAAACCUGUACGCAGCCAAGAAAGCGGCGGGGGCAUCGGCGUACAGCAUGGUGCCCACGACGCAGGGUCAGCAGGGUCAGAUGAUCAGUCCGCCCCCGCCGGGAGGGCCCCAGGACUCCAUGUACAACAUGAGCAUGAACGGCGGCGACUCCUACCAGAACGCCAUGGGCGCCAACGUGCAAUCUCAGCUCUGCAAUUUGGAGACGUGGGCCUGAGGAAGCGGCGGCGGCGAUCGUUGAUGAUGGCUCGCGGGAGGAACCUCGCCCUGCUCUUUGGCAGCGCCAGUGUCGCGUCGUCGUCGCCUGCCGACCUCGGUGCCGGCUGUUUGUAAGCUAGGCAGGGAAAAGAGAGUGCGGCCGCCGCCAACAGGUGACGCGCGCGUGGCAGCUGCGACUCUGGGCCGACCGGGUCCCGCUUCUGCGACUUUCGAGUUCUUCUUCACCGCCAUCCACCCAAGACGAACGGACUAAGCGCCAUCAAGGGCUGGACGCGUGAAAAGACGGUACACACGGCGGCCAGCUUGGAGCACCGUCCACACGCGGAGACGCCCACGACGCCACCCGGGGCCGCCGGCCCCGUGCGCAGCAGGGGCGGCGCUCCGCUCUGUAACAUAGACUCUGCCGCGAGGCGCCCCUGCACUGCGGGGAAGAUCCCUUUCUGUCCCUGUGCUCACUCUGGGACGACGUCUGCUCCUCGGCGCCUGCCUCUUUGUACGCUGUGCGUUCCCCGAAGGGAAUCUGGACUCCCGUCGGCCGGAACACGUGCGUUUUGCCGGGGACACAGUUUUAUUUUGGUUUAUUCGACGCGCAAUUUGCUGGACGGAAUUGCGGGUGCGUACUGUAAGCGGGACCGGCCGCCAGCGGGAUCGAGACUUUGUUCCUCAUGUGAUAGGUGGUUAGGGGUUCACGAUGGUCGGUUCUCUCCGCGACGGCGUGGCUACGGGCCAGAGGGUGUCCCUUUUCUUUCGCGAGUCUUUUCGCGUGCGGUUACUGCUCCGAAAGAACGUGCGCGUGAUCGGACUGCUCGGUUUCUGUCUCGCCCGGGUGCUAGGCUAACAGUCGACGAGUAAGAACUGCGCCUCGUGGGCGUUUUUUAUGGAUGUCCUGUCACGAGCGAUGGUGUAUGAAACCAUCCCAUUUUACUUGCACCCAGCCACGGUAUGCGUCCUCCACGCCCGCACAAAGCCUUUACCAGAUGGCUAACCGAGAGCAGGGUCACCUUGGGCAGGUGAGCUCGUUGCCGACAAACGUUGGGCCGUUGUCCCAGAACAACUCUCCCCGUCCACCCCCGAAGGGAACUCGGGCGCCUCCGGGUCGCAUUGUUAGGCGCUGUCCUUUGUGCGAAGGACGCUGGGAACGUGCGCGGAAGACGGCAGCGCUGAUUAUGAUAACGCUCAUUAUCUCACUCGCAACUUUCUGAUUAAUUCCGGAGAAGCGAGUUCUCCGCUCAACUUUCUUUCUCUUGGGCGCGCCUUCUCGGGCCAGCAAAAGACAGAAAAAGGCAGCUUUUCUUGCUGGCCCGAACGCACUUGGGGCCCUUUGGCCAGGCACCGCCAAGUCGCGCGAGGAUUGGUCAAGGCGGCGUCGGCCCCGCGCCGACUGGGCCAAUCGGCGACCGGCGCCACGCCCACUUCCUUGCGGCCCCUCGCGGGACUCGGGUUCGGAGCGCAUGCGCAGAACGUGCCGCGCAGAGCUCGCUGUUCCCGCGGAGUCUCGCCCGGGGCUCCGGCGACACCAGGCGUCGAACCCCGGAGCUCCGCGCACCGGGCUGCAGCGGGCCGCGCUCUCGGCGGCGCCGCUCCCACGCUUCCCUCGGAGAGGAUCCUUUCUGGUUUUCUCUCCCGUAGGAUUCAAAGUCAGCUUUGAAAACACCGGAGCGAGGCCGUUGGCGAAAUUUCACAUCAGAUAUCUCGAGCAAAACGCCCCUAGGUGGCAGCAAUCGCAAAAAUAGGUUAGCGAAGCUCUUUGGCGUCCAUGCGGCGCUAGGUUUUUUCGCGUAUCCCUUUACACAGUUUCGCGUAAUGCGAAUAUUUAUCGCUCGAACCCGUAAGCGACUCCGGACGGGCGUAGUCCACGCUAUUCGUUCCCCGUCGCCCGUCACAAUGAGGCUCGUGUAGUGACGCGCAAGAAUUCCGCAUUUCUUUGGUUCUCGGGAGUAAAAACGGUGACGUGUUUGACGUCAUGAACCUCGUUCUGUACUCGCGGUUUGGUUACGAAACUCGAUUUGUUUCGUCACCGCCUCUAACGGCGGUUUUCUUCGUCGUUUUGAGCUGCUCUGGUUGCGCAACGACGAUGGGGACCAAACCGCGUUAAAGUUACUGGAUCCUGAAAAAGUAGCGCCGAGGUCCCGGUCGCCAUUCUGGUUCAUACAAUGAUCUCCUCGCUGAGCAGAUCCAACUUCGCAGUGACGAGUUGCUUCAUAAAGACAUUUCGUUAUCCACAGCACACCUACGAGACAAGCGCGCUUCUUUACACCAUAGAUGGUGUCGGUGCUUCGCGGACAAAUGUUUCCUCGUGAAAUACGCAUCAAGAACAAUAUUAGUGUAAGAGAGAUACGCGGAGAUCAAACAGAUUGAUUAGUCGAUCGCGUAUAUCGUGCCAAAGACGCUCAUAUUGGUAAGGACCGCUUUCAGUAUACGAUGACACCGCUGCGAUCUUGGUGCUGCCGGUACAACCUUUCGAAUCUUCGGAGUUCUCGAAGGACCAAAACGUUGAUUGCCGCGGCAACAAAGACCGAUCACCUAAUCGCCUCGCGAGGUUUUGUUAGUCUGUGUUAGUAUAUGUUUGUUGGAAGCCAAUGCCACUGCUUUCCCAGGAUCCAGUCAAACUGCGCGAGACUAGAAUUAAAGCAACGAUAUUUUUCAAGCUUUCACCGUUGUCAUGUGGAAGUGACAGGGUAUCGAUAUCGUUCCAACCAAUCGAAAUUUCUGAUCGCCUCAAAACCACGACACGUAGUUUUAGAGCUACUCGGACUUCUUAAAAAAGACGAGCGCGCAAGUAUAUACUCAGCUUGAACACGGACGCAGCCCACGUAAUACGAGCCGACGGGAACGAUGAGACGGCGUCAAAAGCGCCAGUCACCGGGACUCCUCUGUACGUGAUCGGUUCAGCGACAUUAGAACGCGCACAGAAACACGAGGAACACCGUGUCGGUGCGCGUUUGACCCUGUUCGAUCGGUCCGACCAAGUUACAGCGUCGACUGCGUCCGUCCGGUCUCAAGGAGAAACGAAAAAGUUUAAUUUGGGUGUCGCGCUCCCGACACAAAGAGACACCCUCGCGUCACGAGGAACCGAGCCGUUUCCAAUCAGGUAGCCGGCCGAGAGCGCGGUGCCCAAGUGCGAAGGUGAAAGGGAGCGGGGGCCUCGGAGCCCAAUCUCGAGGCAAUUGCUCGGGGCCCCCUCAUCUGCAUAGCGAAGCCUCCGUCGGCCUUCGAGUCUCUCGGGCCCCGAGUGCCUGCCCGUGUUUCCGCUCCUGCAGCCAGCGCCUCAGUCGCGGAGAGAACUGGGCCGACCAGGCGCCGCCUGAGCCGGAUACGACGACGUUCGGACGUUUCUGUUUUCGAGUUGCCCGCACGAAACCUGGGAGACGUCAGUGACCGAACCCGCGACAGACGUGCCCUCCUCGCGUACGUACGGGCAGACAACCUUCGACGCAUAUUCCUCCGCCUAUGUAGGCGAUGUGUGCGCCUGCGAUGGCAGGCCUCAUCUGUGGCGGCAGUAGUGCAGUCUAACAACCAACCCUUUUUUUUUUUUUUAUGGAAUAUUGUUAGGGUUGUUUGCAGCAGCUCUCACUGUUCAUAAGGGCUAGGGCGGUUUGAAACAACUCUUAAAAGGAUACUCACUGGCCAUGACCUGAAGGAUCUUUGAGGAAAGUCAACCCUAGGCUAGCUCACCUGAGUCAAACAGAAAAGGUUAAAAACAUUUUAACCUUUUUCUUAAUAAAAACGGUCGUGGAUGUGAAAAUUCGAAUCUGGCGUGAAACUGUCUCGCACUACCACCGCCCAGAAAAUAUGCGUUUUUAUUAUUGUUUUUUUUUUUUUUUUAGUUUUUGUGUGGUCCAGAAUCUCUAUCCGGCUCUGGGACCGCCAUCGGGUUCGAUGGUGUAGCAUUGAGUGGCGCCGCAAUAAAGACGAGUGAAGUGUUGGCGCGCCGCGUGGGCCAGAGGACGGACGGGAUUGAUGCGGGGAUGUGAUCGUUUGGGCUCCGUUCGGCACAGCCGCGCUGCCGAAAGGAAGAGGAAUCUCACCCAUUUCUAUCGAAUCGCCAUGCACAUUGACGUAGCCCACCCGCUUGGCGCCGGGUGGCUUACUCGUUGGUUCCCUUACUGCUAUGAUUUUCCCGGAGAUUCGAAUCCGCAGACACUACUGGGCCCUCUUCCGGAGGAUCUCGAAAGGUGUGCACGGGCUGGGCGGUGCAAGGAGCAGCUGCUCUGUCGGUGGCUGCUCCCGGCCUCGUCCAGUCGGCGACUUGUUUCGUUCGGGCCGAGUGACGUCAUUCAGAUUUUCCUUUUGUAAAAACUGUGUCUUGCUUUUGUGUCGCUGUCCUCUCUGAAGGGAUUGAGGCCGAGCGUUUGUGGCCCGGUUGCGCACUGGGUGCGGAAGGCCGCCUACGCCAAUUUUGGAUUUAUGGGGCGCUACCGCGGCGAUUUGAAGGCCGACUCUGCCACCCAUGGAUCGCUGGAAGCCGGAUGUCUCCAACGACGCUAGGGUCGGCUCGCUAGGAACCAAAUGAGCGAAAUGUUUGAUCGGACAGCCGCCGAAACGACGUCUGAGCACGGCGUCGGAGUCCUCGAAAGUGCUUUCGUUCCACGAGUGAUCGUGCACACGGGGCAUUCUCAAGAGCUUCGCUCCGGCUCCUCUGGCUCGGAUGGUGCUGCACACAAUGUGCUGGGCCAAUAGGCUGGUGCAACUCCGCGUACGACGGCGCUCCGAGACAACCACUCAAAUUCGCCAACCGAAAUCGUUGCCGAGGACAGGUGGCGCGUUGAGGUUGCGAUCCCCUGGCAGUAUAUGCUGCUCGUGCCUCAACCGGACUGUCAGUUCUCGGCGACUGUAUUCGGGUAGAAUGAUCCCUCGUUUGGCUCCGAGCGGGCCGGCGUCUGCCUCCCCGAGGGCCAAGUUCUGCGGUUCGAACUCCGGUACGGGCGCAGCGUCGCGCCGCGCCCGCGUGUCCGCCCCGGCGCGCGGGUGUCGGGCGGCGCUCGCAUGACAGGGUGUCUUUUAUUCACGCAAUACGAGUUUCCGCGGCCUGCGGGAUGGAUGGGCCGCGGCCCGGGACGACGCCCAGGAACCCAAGCCGCCGCCACCGCCGCCUCGGGAGGGCCUCGCUGCGUGGGGCCUUCGUCUCUGCACCGCUUGCCUGGAGGGCAAAAAGCUCUUAUCACGCUUCGAAGGCUCACAUCUGAAAGUAGAAUUUUUGGGUGCAGGCGUAGUCGUAAUAUUCCCGAUAUAAGAUUAGCAUCGCUCUUCCGAUCACGAAUCGGCCAAUUUUAGGCAGUUAGCUUUACCUCAAACAGUUAUAACAUCGUUGUAAGAGGGCAAGCGAAAAACACAAUUACCCUUCCAGACGUGGAAGUCUAGAUCCACCGCGCCGCGUGAUUUUCAUGCAGUCUCGGACAUCCUUCCACCGUCGUUUUUGGAUCAUCAACAAAAAGGACGUGGCGAUCAAAAGUUCGCCCGCUUAUUGAGGCCUGCCCUUUCACUCGAGAAAACAUUUGCCCCUAAGAGAGUAGCGUUACUAGUGCAUAGUACGAAAAUGGGUUUUGCGAUUUGGUUCCGACUCGUGGUCGAGGCCCCCCAGGUCCUGACUGGCCCGACCUGUGUCCUUCAGCGUGCGACGUCUGGGCUGCCCGAGGCCCCGGCGGCGGCUGGGGUCCCUCUGGGCGUUCUUUCGGGCGUCGUGGGAGCCCGACGCUGUGUAUACCUGCCUGCCCCCCCACGGUUCCCCGAAAACGCGUGUACAUAUGUGAGCGAUGGCGUUUCGGGGACUCGACACGAAUAAAAGGUUUCCCGUGUUUUUGCAGACGCUUUUA